Long non-coding RNA from Penaeus monodon (black tiger shrimp), 404 nucleotides. RefSeq lists it as uncharacterized. The record is from RefSeq and is a predicted model, not a curated record. The transcript is spliced from 2 exons. Lineage: Eukaryota; Metazoa; Arthropoda; Malacostraca; Decapoda; Penaeidae.
AUCUCGUAUCCCGAUAACAGCGAGGAAAAAAAAAACAUGAGUAGCUUGUAUUAACUUCUCCACAAGGACUUUCCGUGGUGUCUUCAGCGGAGAGUUGUUAGCAACGCCUGAUACAUCCUGGUGCCGACUGACGCCUUGGAAAAAGCUGGAGAAAGAGAGAAGAGAAGGUAAGAUAAUGAUGAUGGCUGGAGUGGAUGGCAAACACGAGGUCAGCGAAGAAGUUGCGGAUAGCGAUAAAGGAAGAGAGAUAGUUGGUGAUAAGGAAGUGGAAACGGAUGAUAGCGGCAGCGAAGAAGAAGGAACCGAUAACGAUGACGAAGAAGAAGGAACCGAUAACGAUGACGAAGAAGAAGGAACCGAUAACGAAGACGAAGAAGAAGGAACCGAUAACGAAGACGAAGAAG